CAUUUUUUAUUUGUUUGUUCCUGUGAAAAUUUAACGAAGAAGAAAAGGAGAAGCCUCACAAAUAAGACUGGAAAAUGAAUUCAAAGAAAGAAAGAAAAAAACUUGUAAAAAUAGUUAAAAGAAUUGGCCAUAGCAGUUUCUUCAAUAAAUUCUUCUUCUUCUUCUUCUUCUUCUUCUUCAUUUUGUCUUCAAUUGGCCAUGGAAAAUGAUAAUGGCGUGGAGCUUGUUACUCCUAAGUAGCAGACAACAAAGAAACAUGAUCAAAUCCAAUUGCUUCUGAAACCUGACAGAACAACAGUGCCAAUCUUUAGGACAUAGAGUUAUGUGAUUCAUUCCAAAUGUUAAAAUCUUUAUACCAAGAACCCUAGAAACUUCCUGUCUCAUCAUCUGCAGUACACUAGCAUCAGCGUGUCUGUCUAUAUAUAUAUACACUUAGACGUCAUCACAAUCUAAGAUCCUGACAAUGUAUGGAGAAAAAGGAAAUAAUACCUAUCAAGAAUUUUUCAUCAGAUUUUUAAGAAAAGCAAAAUCUUCCUUUCAAAUCUUCUAUAAACAGAAACACAAUCAUAAUCAUCAUGAUUCAUAUAAGAAUACUUGAUUCAUGUUGAGAAAAUGCUUUUAAUCAAAUAACAGAGAACAAAAAAACUGAUGAAAGAGAUUUGAGAGAGUGUGACGAAUAGGAAGAUCUUCACAGAAAAGAAUAAUAACUACUUCUCUAAUUACAUUGGGUUUAAGUGGUUUACACUAUUUGAACUUGUAAUGGUGGUUCCUAUUUUUGGGGGAUUGUAACAAUCACAUUUGCUACUUUUUAAUAGUUAUGUGUUUAUUCUAUAAUAAUAUUGUAGUUUUACAAAUUUUGUUCUCGAUAUAAAUUAUUUUUUUACUAGCUCAAAUAUUUUAACUGAUGCAAAUUAAAAUAAAAUAACAUCAUUUUAUUAAAUUGAUGUUAAAGAAAAGGAUUAUUAUAAAUUUUUGUUAGCAUCAGUUUUCUAAUUGAUCUAAAUUAUGUAUCAUGUUAAUAACUGAUGUUAACUAAAAUAAUAAAUGCAUCAGUUAUUUAAUCGAUAUAAAUUUAUAUGAUAGCAUCAAUUUCAUUUAAGUGAUACAAAUUAACAAAAAAAAAAUAUCAUUUUUCUGAAAUGAUGUUAAAUUAAUUAAUAAAACAUCAGUUAUUAUAAUUGAUUUAAAAAUAGGUAUAUUCACAUCAUUUGUAAAUAAGUAAUUUAAAAUAGCAUCAUUUAUUUUUGUGAUAUAAUUUAUGUGAUGUAAUUCACACUUUUUUUUGUAGUGCAUAUAACAAUAUAUACGGAUUUAAUACUUCUCCUCAAAAACAAACAGGUGUCAUUUUUUAAGAAUUAAUACUAACUUUCUGUGAAUCCAAACUGCAGAUAUUUUUUUACAAAGAAAAAGAGUUAUGGCACAAAUUUCAAAUGACAAUACCAUAUUUCAAUGAGAAAAUUCGAAGUUUUACUUAUAGUGUUAAAAUGUAUAAACCGGUCCGCCAAACAGAACAAGAAUCGAAAUAUAAAUAGCAUAGAAGAUUCGCAUAAUAUUAAAACCAUUUACUAGCUAGAAGAUCAAUGAUGCAAUGUAAUAAACUGAACAGUGAACACUUAUCUACAACUGGCUUACCUUUUAGAAAUUGUAGCUCUGAUCACUUGGUCUUGCAAAUAUGUAAACUACAUGCCAAUUCAAGUUUAGUAACUCACACAACAAACAAACAAACAAAGGAUCAAUUGUUAGAUAUUAAAAUUUCAUGCUCACAAUCAGUUUUCCAGCGAAAACUAUAUAAUAAUCCAAUUAAUAAAGUUAAACAUCGAGGAUGAACAGAACAAAAAAAUCUUCAGUUCCAAAUUAUGCAAAACGGAUUAAAACCAUUCUUAGAAUACUUUCCUCCGUCUUUAUAAAAAAAACGCAAAACAUAUUUAUUUUUACUCUGCAUGCAACUGUAUAAAUCAUAGAUAGAACAUAAAAUCAUAUAUGCGUAAGAAAGAUCGGAUAAACUAAAGGAGCAGAAACUUUUUUUAAAAAAGGAGACAGAAACUUAAAAUAUGAAUGGAGUUUGUUGAAGCUAAAUUGCGAAAUCUCCAGCUCGGACUUGAUAUACAUUCAUCUGAGCAUGACCAAUGUCUAAGUACAUACCUACAUGCAUAAAUAUAUAUACAGGCCUGAAUCAUUAGUUUUCGAGAUAUAUAUAUAUAAAUGUAUGGAAAACAACAGGCGUGCAUGAAUCUAUUUCUGUAUCAACGGUGCAAAGUGUACAAGUUGAUCGAAAUCUGUUUGUAU
This 2286-nucleotide long non-coding RNA is filed under the name Brassica napus (rape). Its description in RNAcentral is "long non-coding RNA (BNAP_LNC003904)". Lineage: Eukaryota; Viridiplantae; Streptophyta; Magnoliopsida; Brassicales; Brassicaceae. The record is from RNAcentral.